RNAcentral lists this ribosomal RNA (434 nucleotides) under uncultured Ruminococcus sp. RNAcentral's name for it is "partial 16S ribosomal RNA". It matches the Rfam family "Bacterial small subunit ribosomal RNA", at positions 341 to 792 of the family's 1533-position model. Lineage: Bacteria; Bacillati; Bacillota; Clostridia; Eubacteriales; Oscillospiraceae. The record is from RNAcentral.
ACGGGAGGCAGCAGUGGGGAAUAUUGCACAAUGGGGGAAACCCUGAUGUAGCGAUGCCGCGUGGAGGAGGAAGGUUUUCGGAUUGUAAACUCCUGUCUUAAAGGACGAUAAUGACGGUACUUUAGGAGGAAGCUCCGGCUAACUACGUGCCAGCAGCCGCGGUAAUACGUAGGGAGCGAGCGUUGUCCGGAAUUACUGGGUGUAAAGGGAGCGUAGGCGGGAUUGCAAGUCAGAUGUGAAAUAUACGGGCUCAACCUGUAGACUGCAUUUGAAACUGUAGUUCUUGAGUGAAGUAGAGGCAAGCGGAAUUCCUGGUGUAGCGGUGAAAUGCGUAGAUAUCAGGAGGAACGCCGGUGGCGAAGGCGGCUUGCUGGGCUUUUACUGACGCUGAGGCUCGAAAGCGUGGGGAGCAAACAGGAUUAGAUACCCUGGUA